GUAACUAGGGUGAAUUUUCACCUAUCAAACACUGUCAAAGAAACAGUUAGUCUGCAUUGUUUCUGUUACCGUGAAGUACAGCAUGUACCGCUCUGCCAAGGGUCUCAUCACUCUGACACUAUUUGACAUGCUGGUUCUUGACUCGAGAAACAUUUGGACUAACAUUGGACAUAUGAAAAUGUAACACUGGUGUUUCUCAAUUCAGGGAGAAAUUAGACACAUUUGACAGUAUGUCAUCAAACUUAUAUCUUCUCUAUCCAUUAUUCUGUUCUUAAACCAUAAAUGAAUCCCUUCUCAGAAUAAGUGGGAAUACAUACAUGCAUGUCACUGUGAAACUUAAAUUGUAUAUUUAAUCCAAGAUAUUUGAUUCCAGAAGCGUAAUGCUAUUAAAUACCACGCCUUUACUGUCAUGUGGAUCAUUCUACAAUAGCUCCUGGGGGGGGGGCUUCUUUGUCCAGAUUCACAAGGCAGUAAAAGAUCACUCAACUCAUUGGCCCUGAGUCAUGCUGAAGGGCUGGUGGUUGGUCACUUUCUGUGUCAAUCAAAAGUCCCUUUCCUCUGAAAGCUGUGACGCAACAUUGACCACACAGCAUAUACGCAGUGCUGAAAGAAACCCGCCAUGCGUUGACUUAACUAAGAACUUCGAUCCAGAAAUCUUACAAGCCAUAGCCUGACAUUUCAAAAAUGAAAAACAUGCGGCUAGAUGACAGUAAUAGAGAAUGCUGAGUAUUCUAGGGAAAAAAUAGUCUGACAAUCAGCUGUUUGCAGACGUGACGACAAUGUCCUCUGUGCAAAGGUCCAGGGCAUGUCCGGUUACACACACGCGUCCACCUCUGCCUUAGGGACCACGCCUGUCUUCCUGAGACCCUUCCUGCUUUUGUUUCACUGUACAACAAAGAAUGUGUAAUUCUGUCUUCAAGCGUGCUCUUAUCUUCUACACACAGAGACACACACAUUACUGCAUCUCUCUUCAGCUGUUGUACUGUGUUUUCGAGCUGUGAACAUAAAACAGCCUCAUUUAGAGUCAAGUUAGUUCGUUAAGGCGAAUUCUUCAGAGCUAUCGGGGCAGCGGAAACAGAAAGAGUUCAACACCCUCUGAACCAAGUGUGAACCAGAAAAAAAAAAAAGAACUUCCCCUCUGCAACAGAUCAAAGACGAGCUUGCCAAAGUGCUUGGAGUUUGAGUUGAGGUGGAGGGGAAUCUCACCGUGCCGUACCCUCCCAGGUUUCCACCGUGGUGGUGAGUGAUUGGAGUUGAAGUGCAGAGCAAAGACAAGAGGAAACGUGAGAGUGUCUCCGCAGGUGCUGUGAUUGAAAAGGUCUCCUGAGGAGCCGGCACUGAUUACAGAAAGAAAGAAAGAAAGAAAGAAAGAAAAAUGAAAAUUAAAUGAAAGUCAAGUCAAGUCAAAUAUGGGGGAAAAAAACAAGAACACAGAGACACAAUGGACUCUAAUUUGCCUUGGAUAUUACCAACACAGCACUGCACAGGCGUACACUCUGUGCGUACGCGGCAGACUCUGAGGCAGGUGCAAUGCACAAGCCAUAAUGAAAAAUGCAUGGUGCCUCACAACCGUCACAUCCGUCAAUGGGCACCCUAGCCUAAUGUGCUGGAAUGGACUACACAAUGAGGAAUAAUUAGGGUUGGACUCAAGCUCAAUGGAGACCUGAGGUGUGUGUUCUCCAGCGGGUGUGUGUUCUCCAGCGGGUGUGUGUUCUCAUGGGUCAUGCCAGGAUGUCCUCUUCAUUUAUGUCUUUUAUCAUUCCUAAUUUAAAAAAUGAACCUUUGGCAAGGCAUUAGUAGGAUUUGAGCAAUGUGCUACCUGUAAGAUGGUCAAAAUUGAAGCGGCUUUGUGUAAAGCAACAUUACAACAUGUGUUAAUGUUAGUCACAGAAAUUCUAUAAGACCAUGAUAUGUGGGCCAACUGAACGUUUUAGACAUUUUAAAUAUGAAAGUAUAAAAGCUUGUUGCUCCUUAUCUGCUAUUAUGUGUAGGGCGAGGAAAGCAAUGGUGGAAAUAAAUCUUGGUCUUCUUACUGCCGUCAUAUAAGAAAUGGCAGUAUCAUUAAUACA
Molecule: long non-coding RNA, 2069 nt
Organism: Clupea harengus (Atlantic herring)
Lineage: Eukaryota; Metazoa; Chordata; Actinopteri; Clupeiformes; Clupeidae
Exons: 2
Source: RefSeq, a predicted model, not a curated record